This 326-nucleotide ribosomal RNA is filed under the name uncultured eukaryote. RNAcentral describes it as "partial 18S ribosomal RNA". It matches the Rfam family "Eukaryotic small subunit ribosomal RNA", at positions 1470 to 1796 of the family's 1831-position model. The record is from RNAcentral.
CCCUUAGAUGUUCUGGGCCGCACGCGCGCUACACUGACGAAUGCAACGAGCUUAUAACCUUGGCCGAAAGGUCUGGGUAUCUCCAAAUUUCGUCGUGAUGGGGAUAGAUUAUUGCAAUUAUUAAUCUUCAACGAGGAAUGCCUAGUAAGCGCAAGUCAUCAGCUUGCGUUGAUUACGUCCCUGCCCUUUGUACACACCGCCCGUCGCUCCUACCGAUUGAAUGGUCCGGUGAAGCGUUCGGACCGUGGCCUUUGGACGGUUCGCCGUCUGUUGGCUGCGGGAAGUUCGUUAAACCUUAUCAUUUAGAGGAAGGAGAAGUCGUAACA